CAGUAGCCGCGGGAAUACGUAGGGUGCGAGCGUUAAUCGGAAUUACUGGGCGUAAAGCGUGCGUAGGCGGUGAGUUAAGUCUGCUGUGAAAUCCCCGGGCUCAACCUGGGAAUGGCAGUGGAUACUGGCUCGCUAGAGUGUGUCAGAGGAUGGUGGAAUUCCCGGUGUAGCGGUGAAAUGCGUAGAGAUCGGGAGGAACAUCAAUGGCGAAGGCGGCCAUCUGGGACAACACUGACGCUGAGGCACGAAAGCGUGGGGAGCAAACAGGAUUAGAUACCCCUGUAGUCCCUGUCUCUUAUAC
Molecule: ribosomal RNA, 301 nt
Filed under: uncultured bacterium
Lineage: Bacteria
Description: partial 16S ribosomal RNA
Rfam family: Bacterial small subunit ribosomal RNA
Source: RNAcentral